AUUGAGGUGAGCUAUUCCAAAAACACCUACAUAAUGCUAGGCUUCAGUGUGCCCCUACAUAACCGUUCCGUUUACAGGUGUAGAGGAAAAGUGAUAAGUAUGAACCCAUACAUAAUCGUUCUAUUUUUGGGUGUAUGGAAAAGUGUUAAGUGUUAAGUGUGUGCCUAGCAUGCAUGGCAGUAGAAAGAUAUGAAUGGCCCUUCAUAACAAUGAUGAAGUGGAGCUCAUUGUACAAUGUAGCAAAGUGAAUCUAUUUUCUGAUUAUGG
Molecule: long non-coding RNA, 267 nt
Filed under: Carica papaya (papaya)
Lineage: Eukaryota; Viridiplantae; Streptophyta; Magnoliopsida; Brassicales; Caricaceae
Description: long non-coding RNA (CPAP_LNC002432)
Source: RNAcentral